Molecule: ribosomal RNA, 478 nt
Filed under: uncultured bacterium
Lineage: Bacteria
Description: partial 16S ribosomal RNA
Rfam family: Bacterial small subunit ribosomal RNA
Source: RNAcentral
GAUGAACGCUGGCGGCGUGCUUAACACAUGCAAGUCGAACGAGAAGUGAAGACGGAAACCUUCGGGCGGAAGGCUUUAUUUCGAGUGGCGGACGGGUGAGUAACGCGUGGGUAACCUGCCUCAUACAGGGGGAUAACAGUUGGAAACGACUGUUAAUACUGCAUAAGACCACAGCACCGCAUGGUGCGGGGGUAAAAACUCCGGUGGUAUGAGAUGGACCCGCGUUCGAUUAGCCAGUUGGCGGGGUAACGGCCCACCAAAGCGACGAUCGAUAGCCGAUCUGAGAGGAUGACCGGCCACAUUGGGACUGAGACACGGCCCAAACUCCUACGGGAGGCAGCAGUGGGGAAUAUUGCACAAUGGGGGAAACCCUGAUGCAGCGACGCCGCGUGAGUGAAGAAGUAUUUCGGUAUGUAAAGCUCUAUCAGCAGGGAAGAAAAUGACGGUACCUGAGUAAGAAGCCCCGGCUAACUACGUG